Molecule: ribosomal RNA, 969 nt
Filed under: Priestia endophytica
Lineage: Bacteria; Bacillati; Bacillota; Bacilli; Caryophanales; Bacillaceae
Description: bacterial SSU rRNA
Rfam family: Bacterial small subunit ribosomal RNA
Source: RNAcentral
GUCGAGCGGAGUUUUGAAAAGCUUGCUUUUCAAAUCUUAGCGGCGGACGGGUGAGUAACACGUGGGCAACCUGCCCUUGAGACGGGGAUAACUCCGGGAAACCGGAGCUAAUACCGGAUAACACAUAUCUUCGCAUGAGGAUAUGUUAGAAGGUGGCUUUUAGCUACCACUCAAGGAUGGGCCCGCGGCGCAUUAGCUAGUUGGUGAGGUAACGGCUCACCAAGGCGACGAUGCGUAGCCGACCUGAGAGGGUGAUCGGCCACACUGGGACUGAGACACGGCCCAGACUCCUACGGGAGGCAGCAGUAGGGAAUCUUCCGCAAUGGACGAAAGUCUGACGGAGCAACGCCGCGUGAGUGAUGAAGGUUUUCGGAUCGUAAAGCUCUGUUGUUAGGGAAGAACAAGUACCUGUUAAAUAAGCAGGUACCUUGACGGUACCUAACCAGAAAGCCACGGCUAACUACGUGCCAGCAGCCGCGGUAAUACGUAGGUGGCAAGCGUUGUCCGGAAUUAUUGGGCGUAAAGCGCGCGCAGGCGGUUCCUUAAGUCUGAUGUGAAAGCCCACGGCUCAACCGUGGAGGGUCAUUGGAAACUGGGGAACUUGAGUGCAGAAGAGGAGAGCGGAAUUCCACGUGUAGCGGUGAAAUGCGUAGAGAUGUGGAGGAACACCAGUGGCGAAGGCGGCUCUCUGGUCUGUAACUGACGCUGAGGCGCGAAAGCGUGGGGAGCGAACAGGAUUAGAUACCCUGGUAGUCCACGCCGUAAACGAUGAGUGCUAAGUGUUAGAGGGUUUCCGCCCUUUAGUGCUGCAGCAAACGCAUUAAGCACUCCUCCUGCGGAGUACGGUCGCAGGACUGAAACUCAAAGGAAUUGACGGCGACCCGCCCAAGCUGUGGAGCAUGUAGUUUGAUUCAAAGCAACGCAAAGAAACUUACCAGGUCGUGACGUCCUCUGCUACUUCUAGAGAUA